RNAcentral lists this ribosomal RNA (433 nucleotides) under uncultured bacterium. RNAcentral's name for it is "bacterial SSU rRNA". It matches the Rfam family "Bacterial small subunit ribosomal RNA", at positions 28 to 452 of the family's 1533-position model. The record is from RNAcentral.
GACGAACGCUGGCGGCGUGCCUAAUACAUGCAAGUCGAGCGGACCAAAGGGAGCUUGCUCCUGGAGGUUAGCGGCGAACGGGUGAGUAACACGUGGGCAACCUGCCUGUAAGACUGGGAUAACAUCGAGAAAUCGGUGCUAAUACCGGAUAAUAAAAAGAACUGCAUGGUCUUUUUUGAAAGAUGGUUUCGGCUAUCACUUACAGAUGGGCCCGCGGCGCAUUAGCUAGUUGGUGAGGUAACGGCUCACCAAGGCAACGAUGCGUAGCCGACCUGAGAGGGUGAUCGGCCACACUGGGACUGAGACACGGCCCAGACUCCUACGGGAGGCAGCAGUAGGGAAUCUUCCGCAAUGGACGAAAGUCUGACGGAGCAACGCCGCGUGAGUGAUGAAGGUUUUCGGAUCGUAAAACUCUAGUUGUUAGGGUAAGAAC